CAAGCCAGAAGAGGCGCGUCGCCCAGGCAGUGUGUUCAAGGACCCGUAUCCAGCGAGAACACAUCAGGGGGUGCGACGCCGAGGUGGCGCAACACGCGGAGUGUUGUGCUGUCGGCUGCAGGGGCUGAAUCCUCUGGGUUGUCACCAGAAUCGUCCGCAGUCGGACGAUUCGCAAGGUGAAGUGCUUUUGGUGAC
This is a non-coding RNA of Pantoea wallisii, 195 nucleotides long. NCBI's taxonomy places the organism in Bacteria, Pseudomonadati, Pseudomonadota, Gammaproteobacteria, Enterobacterales, Erwiniaceae. The record is from Rfam.